Molecule: non-coding RNA, 72 nt
Organism: Phrynosoma platyrhinos (Desert horned lizard)
Lineage: Eukaryota; Metazoa; Chordata; Lepidosauria; Squamata; Phrynosomatidae
Source: the annotation of a GenBank genome assembly
GCCAGUGUGGUACAGUGGUUUGAGCAUUGGCUUUUGCCUGUGGAGGCCAGGAUUCAAAUCCCUGCUCAGCCA